This 478-nucleotide ribosomal RNA is filed under the name uncultured bacterium. Its description in RNAcentral is "bacterial SSU rRNA". It matches the Rfam family "Bacterial small subunit ribosomal RNA", at positions 28 to 469 of the family's 1533-position model. The record is from RNAcentral.
GACGAACGCUGGCGGCGUGCCUAAUACAUGCAAGUCGAACGCACUCUCGUUUAGAUUGAAGGAGCUUGCUCCUGAUUGAUAAACAUUUGAGUGAGUGGCGGACGGGUGAGUAACACGUGGGUAACCUGCCCUAAAGUGGGGGAUAACAUUUGGAAACAGAUGCUAAUACCGCAUAAAACCUAACACCGCAUGGUGUAGGGUUGAAAGAUGGUUUCGGCUAUCACUUUAGGAUGGACCCGCGGUGCAUUAGUUAGUUGGUGAGGUAAAGGCUCACCAAGACCGUGAUGCAUAGCCGACCUGAGAGGGUAAUCGGCCACACUGGGACUGAGACACGGCCCAGACUCCUACGGGAGGCAGCAGUAGGGAAUCUUCCACAAUGGACGAAAGUACUGAUGGAGCAACGCCGCGUGAGUGAAGAAGGUUUCGGAUCGUAAAACUCUAGUUGUUGGAGAAGAAUGUAUCUGAUAGUAACUGAUCA